RNAcentral lists this ribosomal RNA (515 nucleotides) under uncultured bacterium. Its description in RNAcentral is "partial 16S ribosomal RNA". It matches the Rfam family "Bacterial small subunit ribosomal RNA", at positions 28 to 523 of the family's 1533-position model. The record is from RNAcentral.
GAUGAACGCUGGCGGCGUGCCUAAUACAUGCAAGUCGAGCGAAUGGAUUAAGAGCUUGCUCUUAUGAAGUUAGCGGCGGACGGGUGAGUAACACGUGGGUAACCUGCCCAUAAGACUGAGAUAACUCCGGGAAACCGGGGCUAAUACCGGAUAACAUUUUGAACCGCAUGGUUCGAAAUUGAAAGGCGGCUUCGGCUGUCACUUAUGGAUGGACCCGGGUCGCAUUAGCUAGUUGGUGAGGUAACGGCUCACCAAGGCAACGAUGCGUAGCCGACCUGGGGGGGUGAUCGGCCACACUGGGACUGGGACACGGCCCAGACUCCUACGGGAGGCAGCAGUAGGGAAUCUUCCGCAAUGGACGAAAGUCUGACGGAGCAACGCCGCGUGAGUGAUGAAGGCUUUCGGGUCGUAAAACUCUGUUGUUAGGGAAGAACAAGUGCUAGUUGAAUAAGCUGGCACCUUGACGGUACCUAACCAGAAAGCCACGGCUAACUACGUGCCAGCAGCCGCAGUAA